Molecule: ribosomal RNA, 751 nt
Filed under: uncultured Actinomyces sp.
Lineage: Bacteria; Bacillati; Actinomycetota; Actinomycetes; Actinomycetales; Actinomycetaceae
Description: bacterial SSU rRNA
Rfam family: Bacterial small subunit ribosomal RNA
Source: RNAcentral
GACGAACGCUGGCGGCGUGCUUAACACAUGCAAGUCGAACGCUGAAGCCCAGCUUGCUGGGUGGAUGAGUGGCGAACGGGUGAGUAACACGUGAGUAACCUGCCCCCUUCUUUGGGAUAACGCCCGGAAACGGGUGCUAAUACUGGAUAUUCACUGGCCUUCGCAUGGGGGUUGGUGGAAAGGUUUUUUCUGGUGGGGGAUGGGCUCGCGGCCUAUCAGCUUGUUGGUGGGGUGAUGGCCUACCAAGGCUUUGACGGGUAGCCGGCCUGAGAGGGUGACCGGUCACAUUGGGACUGAGAUACGGCCCAGACUCCUACGGGAGGCAGCAGUGGGGAAUAUUGCACAAUGGGCGAAAGCCUGAUGCAGCGACGCCGCGUGAGGGAUGACGGCCUUCGGGUUGUAAACCUCUUUCGCUCAUGGUCAAGCCGCAGCUUUGGGUUGUGGUGAGGGUAGUGGGUAAAGAAGCGCCGGCUAACUACGUGUCAGCAGCCGCGGUAAUACGUAGGGCGCGAGCGUUGUCCGGAAUUAUUGGGCGUAAAGGGCUUGUAGGCGGUUGGUCGCGUCUGCCGUGAAAUCCUCUGGCUUAACUGGGGGCGUGCGGUGGGUACGGGCUGACUUGAGUGCGGUAGGGGAGACUGGAACUCCUGGUGUAGCGGUGGAAUGCGCAGAUAUCAGGAAGAACACCGGUGGCGAAGGCGGGUCUCUGGGCCGUUACUGACGCUGAGGAGCGAAAGCGUGGGGAGCGAACAGG